AGAGUUUGAUCAUGGCUCAGGACGAACGCUGGCGGCGUGCUUAACACAUGCAAGUCGAGCGAUGAAGCUCUUCGGAGUGGAUUAGCGGCGGACGGGUGAGUAACACGUGGGCAACCUACCUCAAAGUGGGGGAUAGCCUCCCAAAAGGGAGAUUAAUACCGCAUAAUAUUAGUUUUUCACAUGGAAGAUUAAUUAAAGGAGUAAUCCUCUUUGAGAUGGGCCCGCGGCGCAUUAGCUAGUUGGUGAGGUAACGGCUCACCAAGGCCACGAUGCGUAGCCGACCUGAGAGGGUGAUCGGCCACAUUGGAACUGAGACACGGUCCAGACUCCUACGGGAGGCAGCAGUGGGGAAUAUUGCACAAUGGGCGAAAGCCUGAUGCAGCAACGCCGCGUGAGUGAUGAAGGCCUUCGGGUUGUAAAGCUCUGUCUUUGGGGACGAUAAUGACGGUACCCAAGGAGGAAGCCACGGCCAACUACGUGCCAGCAGCCGCGGUAAUACGUAGGUGGCAAGCGUUGUCCGGAUUUACUGGGCGUAAAGGAUGCGUAGGCGGAUAUUUAAGUCAGAUGUGAAAACCCCGAGCUUAACUUGGGGACUGCAUUUGAAACUGGGUAUCUAGAGUGCGGGAGAGGAGAAUGGAAUUCCUAGUGUAGCGGUGAAAUGCGUAGAGAUUAGGAAGAACACCAGUGGCGAAGGCGAUUCUCUGGACCGUAACUGACGCUGAGGCAUGAAAGCGUGGGUAGCAAACAGGAUUAGAUACCCUGNUAGUCCACGCCGUAAACGAUGAAUACUAGGUGUANGAGGUAUCGACCUUCUGUGCCGCAGCUAACGCAAUAAGUAUUCCGCCUGGGAAGUACGAUCGCAAGAUUAAA
Molecule: ribosomal RNA, 870 nt
Filed under: uncultured bacterium
Lineage: Bacteria
Description: bacterial SSU rRNA
Rfam family: Bacterial small subunit ribosomal RNA
Source: RNAcentral